GUACUCACUUAGGCAGCACAUACACUAAAAGUGGAACAAUACAGAGAUUAGCAUGGCCCCUGAGCAAGGAUGAAAAAUAACAAAUGGUGACAUCUUGUCUAUUU
Molecule: small nuclear RNA, 104 nt
Organism: Loxodonta africana (African savanna elephant)
Lineage: Eukaryota; Metazoa; Chordata; Mammalia; Proboscidea; Elephantidae
Source: Ensembl